GUGCCUAAUACAUGCAAGUCGAGCGGACUGAUGGGAGCUUGCUCCCUGAAGUCAGCGGCGGACGGGUGAGUAACACGUGGGUAACCUGCCUGUAAGACUGGGAUAACUCCGGGAAACCGGGGCUAAUACCGGAUAGUUCUUUUCCUCGCAUGAGGAAAAGUGGAAAGGCGGCUUCGGCUGCCACUUACAGAUGGACCCGCGGCGCAUUAGCUAGUUGGUGAGGUAACGGCUCACCAAGGCAACGAUGCGUAGCCGACCUGAGAGGGUGAUCGGCCACACUGGGACUGAGACACGGCCCAGACUCCUACGGGAGGCAGCAGUAGGGAAUCUUCCGCAAUGGACGAAAGUCUGACGGAGCAACGCCGCGUGAGUGAUGAAGGUUUUCGGAUCGUAAAACUCUGUUGUUAGGGAAGAACAAGUGCCGUUCCAAUAGGGCGGCGCCUUGACGGUACCUAACCAGAAAGCCACGGCUAACUACGUGCCAGCAGCCGCGGUAAUACGUAGGUGGCAAGCGUUGUCCNGAAUUAUUGGGCGUAAAGCGCGCGCAGGCGGUCUCUUAAGUCUGAUGUGAAAGCCCACGGCUCAACCGUGGAGGGUCAUUGGAAACUGGGGGACUUGAGUACAGAAGAGGAAAGUGGAAUUCACGUGUAGCGGUGAAAUGCGUAAAUAUGUGGAGGAAC
Molecule: ribosomal RNA, 680 nt
Filed under: Bacillus sp. SP51
Lineage: Bacteria; Bacillati; Bacillota; Bacilli; Caryophanales; Bacillaceae
Description: bacterial SSU rRNA
Rfam family: Bacterial small subunit ribosomal RNA
Source: RNAcentral